RNAcentral lists this ribosomal RNA (398 nucleotides) under uncultured bacterium. RNAcentral describes it as "bacterial SSU rRNA". It matches the Rfam family "Bacterial small subunit ribosomal RNA", at positions 521 to 916 of the family's 1533-position model. The record is from RNAcentral.
UAAUACGUAGGGCGCAAGCGUUAUCCGGAAUUAUUGGGCGUAAAGAGCUCGUAGGCGGUUUGUCGCGUCUGCUGUGAAAUCUGGGGGCUCAACCCCCAGCCUGCAGUGGGUACGGGCAGACUAGAGUGCGGUAGGGGAGAUUGGAAUUCCUGGUGUAGCGGUGGAAUGCGCAGAUAUCAGGAGGAACACCGAUGGCGAAGGCAGAUCUCUGGGCCGUAACUGACGCUGAGGAGCGAAAGGGUGGGGAGCAAACAGGCUUAGAUACCCUGGUAGUCCACCCCGUAAACGUUGGGAACUAGUUGUGGGGUCCAUUCCACGGAUUCCGUGACGCAGCUAACGCAUUAAGUUCCCCGCCUGGGGAGUACGGCCGCAAGGCUAAAACUUAAAUGAAUUGACGG